RNAcentral lists this unclassified non-coding RNA (304 nucleotides) under Hevea brasiliensis (rubber tree). Lineage: Eukaryota; Viridiplantae; Streptophyta; Magnoliopsida; Malpighiales; Euphorbiaceae. The record is from RNAcentral.
UGGCGCCUUAGUGCGCCUUGAGCUUUUAAUAACUAUGGUAUAGCCUAUCCUACAAACACACAUUUAAGAAUUUUAGGUUUUAAUUUGUCAACAUUUGUUUUGUGGAUACACAUCCAAAAAUCUUUGAGGAACAGUAUUAGAAUUAUGACCUUGUAAAACCUCUAAAGGACUCUUAAAGUUUAGUAUUCUCAGAGGCAUUCUUUUGAUAAUAUAUGUUACAGCAAGAACUGCAUCCUCCUGAUAAGAUGUAAGAAGAUUAAUAGUAGACAUAAAGAUCCAACACCUCCAAUAAAUAUCUAUUUUU